AUGCUCGCUUCGGCAGCACAUGUACUAAAAUUGGAACGAUACAGAGAAGAUAAGCAUGGGUGCACAAGGGUGACACGCAAAUUUGUGAAGCGUGUUGUGUUUUU
Non-coding RNA from Pteropus alecto (black flying fox), 104 nucleotides. The record is from Rfam. Lineage: Eukaryota; Metazoa; Chordata; Mammalia; Chiroptera; Pteropodidae.